GAUGAACGCUGGCGGCGUGCCUAAUACAUGCAAGUCGAGCGAACGGACGAGAAGCUUGCUUCUCUGAUGUUACCGGCGGACGGGUGAGUAACACGUGGAUAACCUACCUAUAAGACUGGGAUAACUUCGGGAAACCGGAGCUAAUACCGGAUAAUAUUUUGAACCGCAUUGUUCAAAAGUGAAAGACGGUCUUUCUGUCACUUAUAGCUGGUUCCGCGCUGCAUUAGCUAGUUGGUAAGGUAACGGCUUACCAAGGCAACGAUGCAUAGCCGACCUGAGAGGGGGAUCGGCCACACUAGAAGUGAAACACGGACAAGACUCCUGCGGGAGGGAGCAGUAGGGAAUGUUCGGCAAUGGGCGAAAGCAUGACGGAGCAACGGGGCGUGAGUGAUGGAGGUCUUCGGAUCGUAAAACUCUGUUAUUAGUGAAAAACAUAUGUGUAAGUAGCUGUGCACAUCUUGACGGUACCUAAUCAGAAAGCCACGGCUAACUACGUG
This 497-nucleotide ribosomal RNA is filed under the name uncultured bacterium. Its description in RNAcentral is "partial 16S ribosomal RNA". It matches the Rfam family "Bacterial small subunit ribosomal RNA", at positions 28 to 507 of the family's 1533-position model. The record is from RNAcentral.